AUGGAGACUUUUUCACAAUCCCAGCGGAUUCCCCAUAGCUUCAUCCCAAGGAAACUGGGCUGUUUGAAAACCAGGAGUCUCCUCUUUACUGCUGAGCAAUUGUGGAGAGAUUCACAUUGUAGAGCUACAUUCAUCAGUCUGUGUGAAGGAAAAUAAUGGAAACCACAUUUUCUUUGACCAGAAGAGGACAUGCUGAUUCUAGUGGGUUGCAAGAUCUUCUCUGACUCUCUGCAAAGACCUGAAGUUCUAUAACAUUUCAGAAUUAUCAAUCCACAUCUUCUUUUCAAAAUAUAUAUUCAAUUAUUAACGAUCUCAUCCAUUUAGGAAAGUGUGGGUGUGAUAGGUAGCUCUACCCAUUUCAUCGUUUGGCCACAUAACUUUUCAUUAUUUGAGAGCUGCCUUGGAUCCAACUCUUGGAGAAAUAUGGCAUAUACUGUCUCACACACACACACAUAAAUUUACUUUCAUGGUGUCUGUUUGUUCCUAAAUUCUGGCACUCUCUUCCUAAGAAGACUGCUCUUCUUCCUGUCUUGUUUUCCUACCAGAUAAAAACUUUUCAAAUUCUGACUGGCUUUUGUUCAUAAGACAAGUGUUUUUUAACAGGUGCUGUCAAAUCUUUAUUGAACUUUGUAAUGAAUAUGUUUUAAAUUGAUCUACAUUCUAUAGGUCCUUUAACUGAAUUUUAACAAUAGCACAUUGGUGGAUAUUUUAUUUGUAUCUAGUUCAAUUUCUGUAGUUCAAUUGCCUUGAGUCCCAACUUUGGGAAAAAGACAGAAAAUAAAGAAAUAAAAUAAUUGUAAUACAGGUUGAGAACCCCUUAUCCAAAAUGUGUUGGAGCCAGACAAAUUAUUUACAUAUUUUAUCACGGCAGCUAGAAUAGAAUAUGCAAAAAAAUGGAAAAUUGAAGAAAUACCAGCUGAAGAAGUAUCAAGCUAUUCCAAUUAAAAAGAAUGGACUGGACAUGUGUUAGAGACUAUCUAAACUCAGACAAUAGAAAAAUGUUCAUUUGAAAUAAACUAUAAAUGGUAAAGAGUUUAACUAAAGAAGAAAGAUUAAAAAGGAUCUGAAGAAAUUGGAAGUCAACAACUACCCCUGUUUGUUUAUUCCUUUUUUCCCUUAUUUUAUUUUAUAUAUAUAUAUUUUACUUUCAUAUCCCCUUCCCCAAAUGCCCCCUCUCCUUGUCUAUUCGUAUAAUCUGUUUUAAGCAAAGAAAAAAAACACGAAUUGUAUUCUUCCCCCUUAUUUUUUGUUUAUUUGUCUAAUAAAAAUAUUUUUUAAAAAACAAAAUGUGUUGGAGCCAGAACUAUUUAGGAUUUUAAAAAAAUUAGAAUACCUGUGUCUGUAUAUAUGUUUGUGAUGUGUUCCCAUAGCUUGGAGAAGGGACCCAAAUCUAAUCAGAAAAUUCAUUACUGUUUUAUAUACUUCUUAUACAAUAGCCAGAAAGUAAUUUUAUCCACAGAACUCAUAAUUCUAUGCAAGAAAGCUUGUGUGUAUUGAACCAUGAGAAAGCAAAGGUGUCGCUAUCUCAGCCAUCCAUAUGGACAAUUUUGGACUGUGGAGUAUUUUGGAUUUUGGAAUUCUAGAUAAGGGAUUCUGUAAAAUGAUCUUGGACAAACUGCAGCUAGGAAACUAUGUAGGAUCCCUUUAUCACUGUGCCCUGUAUGUGUGAAAAGAACCCUGCAGUAGCAGGAUUUCAAAUUGCAUAUCAAAAUGGAAUAGACUCCCUGUUAC
This is a long non-coding RNA of Anolis carolinensis (green anole), 1731 nucleotides long. The record is from Ensembl. NCBI's taxonomy places the organism in Eukaryota, Metazoa, Chordata, Lepidosauria, Squamata, Anolidae.